GAAUAUUGCACAAUGGAGGGAACUCUGAUGCAGCGACGCCGCGUGAGUGAAGAAGUAAUUCGUUAUGUAAAGCUCUAUCAGCAGGGAAGAAAGUGACGGUACCUGAAAAAGAAGCUCCGGCUAAAUCCGUGCCAGCAGCCGCGGUAAUACGUAUGGAGCAAGCGUUAUCCGGAUUUACUGGGUGUAAAGGGGGCGCAGACGGCCAUGGCAAGCCCGGUGUGAAAGGCAGGGGCAUAACCCCUGGACUGCACUGGGAACUGUCAGGCUGGAGUGCCGGAGGGGUAAGCGGAAUUCCUGGUGUAGCGGUGAAAUGCGUAGAUAUCAGGAGGAACACCGGCGGCGAAGGCGGCUUACUGGACGGCAACUGACGUUGAGGCCCGAAAGCGUGGGGAGCGAACAG
RNAcentral lists this ribosomal RNA (400 nucleotides) under uncultured bacterium. RNAcentral describes it as "bacterial SSU rRNA". It matches the Rfam family "Bacterial small subunit ribosomal RNA", at positions 359 to 775 of the family's 1533-position model. The record is from RNAcentral.